UAGGCUCUUUGCUCGCAUGAGUGAAGAAGGAAAGGCGCUAAGGCGUCGCUUGAUGAUGGCCCCGCGGCGCAUUAGCUAGUUGGUGGGGUAACGGCUUACCAAGGCGACGAUGCGUAGCCGACCUGAGAGGGUGACCGGCCACACUGGGACUGAGACACGGCCCAGACUCCUACGGGAGGCAGCAGUAGGGAAUCUUCCGCAAUGGGCGAAAGCCUGACGGAGCAACGCCGUGUGAAUGAAGACGGUCUUCGGAUUGUAAAGUUCUGUCAUUGGGGACGAAGUAGGGAGAGAGGGAAUGCUCUUCUAGAGACGGUACCCAAGGAGGAAGCCCCGGCUAACUACGUGCCAGCAGCCGCGGUAAUACGUAGGGGGCAAGCGUUGUCCGGAAUGACUGGGCGUAAAGCGCGCGCAGGCGGUCUUUUAAGUCUGAGGUGAAAGGCUGGGGCUCAACCCUGGCAUCGCCUUGGAAACGGGAAGACUUGAGGACUGGAGAGGCAAGGGGAAUUCCACGUGUAGCGGUGAAAUGCGUAGAGAUGUGGAGGAAUACCAGUGGCGAAGGCGCCUUGCUGGACAGUGCCUGA
RNAcentral lists this ribosomal RNA (581 nucleotides) under uncultured bacterium. Its description in RNAcentral is "bacterial SSU rRNA". It matches the Rfam family "Bacterial small subunit ribosomal RNA", at positions 173 to 743 of the family's 1533-position model. The record is from RNAcentral.